CUCUCUCUCUCUCUCUCGUCGGUGUGUUCCUUCUCCGGCGACUUUGGCGGCCGUCUGUCUCCGGCGACCUCUGACUUUCUGGGGCCUUCUCUUCCUCCACCCAGGUACCAAAACUUCUCUCCACACAUUCUCAAAUCCCAAUUUCCCCCCCUUUGGCGGCGCUCUCUCUCAUACGGCCGGCCGAACCCCUCUCUCUUGCCGGCGUGUUCGUGUCCCCGGUGUCUGACGGUGCACUCUCUCUAGCCGGCGUGUUCGCGUCUCCGGGGCUUUGGGUGGCCGGAUCUAUCUCUGGCAAAAGAAAAAAUGAUCUCGCCUCCGUUCCAUCUCUCUUCACGGCAUUCUCUUCUCUACCGGUGCCGUCUCCACCGCCGGUAACCUAUCAGAUGGUAGUUCAGUGGUUAUUGACUAAGACUUAUUUGUGAUGAACUCUACGAGGCGAUUCAAUUUUUCAAAGCUCAUGCCAGUCUUCCAAUGCCCCAAGUCACUUGCUUGAUCAUGCGAUGUAAUAUAUUGGUUUUGUAGUCGUUUGGAUAAUUCAAUCAAGAAUAAAGUGAAUUUGAGUUUAGCGAA
Alnus glutinosa is the source of this 570-nucleotide long non-coding RNA. RefSeq lists it as uncharacterized. The transcript has 3 exons. The record is from RefSeq and is a predicted model, not a curated record. NCBI's taxonomy places the organism in Eukaryota, Viridiplantae, Streptophyta, Magnoliopsida, Fagales, Betulaceae.